This 417-nucleotide ribosomal RNA is filed under the name uncultured bacterium. RNAcentral describes it as "bacterial SSU rRNA". It matches the Rfam family "Bacterial small subunit ribosomal RNA", at positions 360 to 793 of the family's 1533-position model. The record is from RNAcentral.
AAUCUUAGACAAUGGGCGCAAGCCUGAUCUAGCCAUGCCGCGUGAGUGAUGAAGGCCUUAGGGUCGUAAAGCUCUUUCGCCAGGGGAUGAUAAUGACAGUACCUGGUAAAGAAACCCCGGACUAACUCCGUGCCAGCAGCCGCGGUAAUACGGAGGGGUUAGCGUUGUUCGGAAUUACUGGGCGUAAAGCGCGCGUAGGCGGAUUAGUCAGUUAGAGGUGAAAUCCCAGGGCUCAACCCUGGAACUGCCUUUAAUACUGCUAGUCUUGAGUUCGAGAGAGGUGAGUGGAAUUCCGAGUGUAGAGGUGAAAUUCGUAGAUAUUCGGAGGAACACCAGUGGCGAAGGCGGCUCACUGGCUCGAUACUGACGCUGAGGUGCGAAAGUGUGGGGAGCAAACAGGAUUAGAUACCCUGGUAG